Molecule: non-coding RNA, 2851 nt
Organism: Chrysemys picta bellii (western painted turtle)
Lineage: Eukaryota; Metazoa; Chordata; Testudines; Emydidae
Source: RefSeq, a predicted model, not a curated record
AAUUGCUUAAGGCUGCUUGUAUAGGGGGAUAGGUAUACAUGAAUACUAGAAGUUUCUCGCUAACAAAGGGGGGUGGGAUGCGGGUUGUUUUAACUGAAUCAUUUCUGACGCAAUGGAACUGUCUAUAUAACCCUACUAGAUGUUAGAACGGUGGCUGGUUCUCUCUGGAGACGGGCCGCUCUCUAUUGUUGUGUGCACUCCUCAAUAAAGAGCUUGUCACUGGACCUUGCUGGUGUUGCCUGUCUCUCUGCGGUCAGACAACAAACCGUGCCGUCUGGGUUCUGAGUCCCCGACAAAUUUGGCAACCAUGAAGGAACUCGUCUGACUCUCCGGCGCGGGAUCAGAUUCUGAAGCAACGUAGCGCGCAUCCUCCGGUUUCGAGGAGCCUUGCCCAGUGACCUGAUCCCUGCGUCGGCGAUAAGGCGUAUUCUGCGAACCAGCUGAAGCCUGUAAAAAUCCAGCAACGUCCACCUACCCGUUGAGUAGGAUCCGGGUCUUUGAGGUUCGAGUCCCUGGAGAAGGUGAUCCCGUGUGGGUAAAAGCAUACAAGACUCCGCUUCAACCGCAGUGGCUAGGACCCUUUGAAAUGCUUCUGGUGAGCCCUACUGCCAUCCGAGUAAAGGAGCUACCCACCUGGUCAAAAGGAGCACCGCUAGGGAACCUGACCGGGUAAAGGGUUCCCCAGAAGUAGACGACGUCGGACUUGGAGGUUGCCACGCACGUUCAUCCCACCGUGAACUGGCUGAACCAGAAGCAGACGACAUCUGGGCCCGAGACCAGUGGACUGCUACCCCUUUGGGCGACCUGAAACUUCGACUGCAGCUGAAAAAGCCUUAAAUUGGUGGCGCUCUUUCUCGGAAGGAUGGCCCCGUUUUCUGGCCUGGGGUCUUACGUUUUUAAUCUGUUUAUUAUUUGUUACCUUUCUCUUCUGGUGGUACGAAGCAUGUGGCUAUAGAAUCUCACAGUCCUAACACCUUUAUACGCCUUGCCCAUGAGAUGAAAGCUCGCAUGCCAGCCUUACAUAAUACUCCAUGCUGGGUAUGUUCUCUGAUGCCAGCGGAUAGCCAAAAAGGUCUCCCUAUGGUCCCUACUUCCCUCAGUGCAAGGAACAUGACCUGGACUCCCUCCUGGAAGGACUCUUCAGGCACUCUAAACAUAACCUGGAGUGAUACUGGAAUUAAGAAUAAAGGGUUCUUAAAUGUUUGGAGGAGACCGGGACAUUGGUGCCUCUUAAAAGGACCACAUGCUAAUUCUAGCAUUUUUGUUGGGAUUAGCCAGUGCACCUGGUAUUAUAACACCCCCCAUAGUGGACUAGCUUCUACACACACUAAGGAAGGAUUUCAAAUGAUAAAUGGUCCGGAUGUCUCUUUAAUUCCUAGAUGGAUGAAGGUAAAUACCACGGCAUGUUCACCUUCUUCCUCACACCUUUCCUAUAACAGCUUUUCUUUACACUGUACCUGAUGUUCCCCCGGACCCCAUAAUAGGUCCCUUUGCAUAUGCUCUUAUCGAAAUGGCCCAACCCUACCAAUCGGUCCAGACUGAUGGAAUCGGUGGGACCGACCCCUCUUCGGGGUGUGUGGCAACAAAGCAUCCCUAGUCCUCCCUCCCUCAUGGAGUGGAUCCUGCUAUCUGGCCUGGUUAGAGCCACCUGUCGUUUAUCGCGCCCACCUCCCAAGAGGGAAAAUCAGAAAUGUGAGGGCUGCUGAGGAAAACGUUAAGGAAUCUCGCCCCCUACCUGGCGGGCUCUAAAUGAUCGGACAGGCGUUUGUGCAGGAUUUGGUUUUGCUUGUGGCGGAGCCACCUGGCGAAUUGGAGAAGGAGUAAUACAACUUCAGGGGGGUUUGGAGAUAAUGGCAUAUACUACCGCCGAUGCCCUGGUGGACUUGGCACCGAACAGAGAAAACUAAGGCAGAUGGUUCUCCAGAACCGCUUGGCUCUAGAUAUCUUACUGGCCUCUCAGGGAGGAACAUGUGCACUAAUUGGGCAAGAGUGCUGCGUAUAUGUUCCUGAUGUUUAUAACGCCACCUGGGACAGAGCAAACCACCUCAUACAAGUAGCAAAGGACCAUGGAGAGGAGCAGGUUAAUUCUUGGUGGAGCAACCUGUUUAAUUGGGUUCCAGACAUAGGUGGCUGGCUUCAUAAUUUGCUUCGCAGCGCUGUUGUAAUUAUUUGUGGCCUAAUAGCUUUGUAUGUUAUUCUCCAAUAUGGGUGUUGGAUAGGCACCAAGUUGUGCUCCACCCAGCAGUAAUUAGUUCAAAACUCAGUAAGAGUUGCAGCCAGUAUGUCCCAAGAGUCCUUUUAAGGUACUCUAGGGACAAAGGGGGGGUUGUUAGGCCCCAAAAGAAAAUUGUAGAGCAGUUAUGCCAACCUAACCAGAAUUAGGCCAACAGAGGUUUCUGGGUAGUCCCCAGGCAGAAUCGAAGACAUAGUUGUUUAAGCUGAAAAAAUGAGAUAAGAGGGAAGCUGCAUUCCUGUACCAGAUGUGCUACGAACAGUGUGCUCAGAAGAUAGAUUAGGAGACAUACUGUCUCCACUCCCUGUUUCUGUUCUUUGUAUGUUCUUGAUUCCCCCCGUCUCCUAGUUCUGGUGCUUGUUAACCGUGCUAAUAAGAAAGUUGCUGAGACAUGAAUUGCUUAAGGCUGCUUGUAUAGGGGGAUAGGUAUACAUGAAUACUAAAAGUUUCUCGCUAACAAAGGGGGGUGGGAUGCGGGUUGUUUUAACUGAAUAAUUUAUGACGCGAUGGAACUGUCUGUCUAACCCUACUAGAUGUUAGAACGGUGGCUGGUUCUCUCUGGAGACGGGCCGCUCUCUAUUGUUGUGUGCACUCCUCAAUAAAGAGCUUGUCACUGGA